AUGAAGAACUCCAUUCUAUCUCUCCAACAAAAAAGUUGGGCUGCACACCAGUUGUACACUCCCUUCGUUCGGAGAACCCUUGUUGAUUCUGAACUUCGUUUGCAAAGUAAGCGUCCUUUUAAUGGGCCAGCCCUUUUUAAUGCGCCGCUUGACCCUGUUUUGAAAAUGAGCUUUGCUCUUCUAGGCACUGGGCGCUCCCGUGCUUCGCGAGAAGGAAAAAGGACUAAUCUUUUGUUACAUCUGGCACGAGAUGAAAAAGAGAGAGCUUCGUCUAUCGAUGAACAACAGAUUGACGGAGCUCUUGGCAUUGCUUUGUUUUUCUCUCCUUACCUAUCAGUGAAUUCUGAUCCUUUUGUUUGA
RNAcentral lists this ribosomal RNA (360 nucleotides) under Triticum aestivum (bread wheat). RNAcentral describes it as "partial small subunit ribosomal RNA". The record is from RNAcentral. Lineage: Eukaryota; Viridiplantae; Streptophyta; Magnoliopsida; Poales; Poaceae.